GUGCUGUUUUGGCAUGGGUUUAGGUGUGGGAUUUGAGGUAUUUUACUGUUCUUUCCAUCUUGGAGUGAUAUAUUUUAGGAAGGGAGACUAGAAAUUACAAGGACAAAUGUUCUUUUCUGAUAAUUUUUGAACAGUUAUCUGUCUAUACUUCUAUCCAGUACAUGUCUCAAAGGGUAUGUAAUUUUAUUUGGCUGAAUUGAAAAUCCUUAAACGGAGUUUUGUCUAUCACUUUUACUGAUCAAGCG
RNAcentral lists this unclassified non-coding RNA (245 nucleotides) under Hevea brasiliensis (rubber tree). The record is from RNAcentral. Lineage: Eukaryota; Viridiplantae; Streptophyta; Magnoliopsida; Malpighiales; Euphorbiaceae.